Molecule: ribosomal RNA, 119 nt
Filed under: Macaca nemestrina (pig-tailed macaque)
Lineage: Eukaryota; Metazoa; Chordata; Mammalia; Primates; Cercopithecidae
Source: RNAcentral
GUCUAUGGCCAUACCUCCCUGAACGCACCUGAUCUCAUUUGAUCUCUGAAGCUAAGCAGGGUAGGUCCUGGUUAGUACUUGGAUGGGAGACCACCAUAGAAUACCGGGUCCUGUAGUCU